Molecule: ribosomal RNA, 440 nt
Filed under: uncultured bacterium
Lineage: Bacteria
Description: partial 16S ribosomal RNA
Rfam family: Bacterial small subunit ribosomal RNA
Source: RNAcentral
CCUACGGGUGGCUGCAGUGGGGAAUAUUGGGCAAUGGACGCAAGUCUGACCCAGCAACGCCGCGUGAAGGAAGAAGGCUUUCGGGUUGUAAACUUCUUUUAAGGGGGAAGAGCAGAAGACGGUACCCCUUGAAUAAGCCACGGCUAACUACGUGCCAGCAACCGCGGUAAUACGUAGGUGGCAAGCGUUGUCCGGAUUUACUGGGUGUAAAGGGCGUGCAGCCGGGAAGACAAGUCAGAUGUGAAAUCCCGCGGCACAACCGCGGAACUGCAUUUGAAACUGUUUUUCGUGAGUAUCGGAGAGGUGAGGGGAAUUCCUAGUGUAGCGGUGAAAUGCGUAGAUAUUAGGAAGAAAACGAGUGGAGAGGGCGGAUUAAUGGACGAAAACUGACGGUGAGGCGAGAAAGCGGGGGGAGCAAACAGGAUGAGAUACCCUUGUAG